UUUCAUAAGCGAACACAGAAAGAUGUGCCUGAUAAGCUGGUUUUCAUUGAUGGUGGAGCAAUCAGCAACUGAGAAUGUAGGUAGUCCACCUCUGUUCCCUUGAUAGUUCUCUGUGUCAGAAAUAUAGCAUGAUCUUAUAUUCUUACACGUUUUAGGAAAAUGUACAGUCAUACUUUUAAAUAAUCUUUAAGUUGAUAAAAUUAUCACUUUCCAAUUUUGCAUAUUUUCAACUUUAAAUUAGCCACAGAUUCACUUACUUUUAAUACAUAUAUUUGAUUUAAUAUUUAAAGUAGUUAUUGGCCAGGCACAGUGGCUCAUGAUCCUGUAAUCCCAGCAUUUUGGGAGGAUCACCUGAGCCCAAGAGUUCAAGACCAGCGUCAGCAACUUAGACCCAUCUCUACCAAAAAGACCCCAAAAAACCUGGGUGUGGUGGUUACUGCCUAUAGUCCCAGCUUCUUGGGAGGCUGAGGUAGGAGGAUUGCUUGAGCCCGGGAGUUUGAGGCUGCAGUGAGCCAUGAUUGCACCACCACACUCCAACCUGGACAACAGAGCAAGACUGUGUCUCAAAAAAAAAAAAAAAAAAGAAGAUAUAUUCUGAACAUGAAUAAAUAUACUAAGAUUGUACAUAUUUUUAACAGCACUCAACUAUGACAUCAACAUUGAGGAGACUGGGUGAAGACAUUUUUAAAGGAGUGGUAACUAAAGGAAUUCAGGAUAGUUCACCACAGCAUUCUAUGGAGAAUAAACCAAAGACAGCUGCUUUCUUUAAGAGCUCCAAUUUGCCACUGAGACUUUUAUCAACCUUAAUUGUUCUCAAAACAGUCACUCAAGCUGAUUACCUGGCUCAGGCAUUUGAUUCUCUUUGUUUGGACUUGAAGACAGAAGAAGGAAAAACCUUGUUUUUGGAGUAUCAAGCUGUUCCAGUAAUAUUAAGUCAUCUAAGAAUAUCCAGUAAAGGACUCCUGUCUAAUGUUAUUGACAGUUUGCUCCAGAUGACGGUGGAAUCUAAAUCCUUGCAGCCUUUCUUGGAAGCCUGUAGCAACUCUUCAUUUUUUCGUACUUGCUCUGUGCUGCUUCGAGCCCCUAAGCUUGAUCUUCAAAUACUAGAAAAACUCAGUAUUAUUUUACAGAAACUUUCCAAAAUCAAGAGUAAUAAGAAGCUCUUUGAACUUUUACAAUUCAUCUGA
RNAcentral lists this long non-coding RNA (1187 nucleotides) under Rhinopithecus bieti (black snub-nosed monkey). RNAcentral's name for it is "lncRNA (ENSRBIG00000045129.1)". Lineage: Eukaryota; Metazoa; Chordata; Mammalia; Primates; Cercopithecidae. The record is from RNAcentral.